AACGAACGCUGGCGGCAGGCUUAACACAUGCAAGUCGAGCGAGACCUUCGGGUCUAGCGGCGGACGGGUGAGUAACGCGUGGGAACGUGCCCUUCUCUACGGAAUAGCCCCGGGAAACUGGGAGUAAUACCGUAUACGCCCUUUGGGGGAAAGAUUUAUCGGAGAAGGAUCGGCCCGCGUUGGAUUAGGUAGUUGGUGGGGUAAUGGCCCACCAAGCCGACGAUCCAUAGCUGGUUUGAGAGGAUGAUCAGCCACACUGGGACUGAGACACGGCCCAGACUCCUACGGGAAGCAGCAGUGGGGAAUCGUAGACAAUGGGGGCAACCCUGAUCUAGCCAUGCCGCGUGAGUGAUGAAGGCCUUAGGGUUGUAAAGCUCUUUCAGCUGGGAAGAUAAUGACGGUACCAGCAGAAGAAGCCCCGGCUAACUCCGUG
This 433-nucleotide ribosomal RNA is filed under the name uncultured bacterium. RNAcentral describes it as "partial 16S ribosomal RNA". It matches the Rfam family "Bacterial small subunit ribosomal RNA", at positions 29 to 507 of the family's 1533-position model. The record is from RNAcentral.